CAAACGACUCUCGGCAACGGAUAUCUCGGCUCUCGCAUCGAUGAAGAACGUAGCGAAAUGCGAUACUUGGUGUGAAUUGCAAAAUCCCGUGAAUCAUCGAGUCUUUGAACGCAAGUUGCGCCCGAAGCCAUUAGGCCGAGGGCACGUCUGCCUGGGCGUCACGC
This 164-nucleotide ribosomal RNA is filed under the name Dipsacus chinensis. RNAcentral's name for it is "5.8S ribosomal RNA". It matches the Rfam family "5.8S ribosomal RNA". Rfam says of the family: 5.8S ribosomal RNA (5.8S rRNA) is a component of the large subunit of the eukaryotic ribosome. It is transcribed by RNA polymerase I as part of the 45S precursor that also contains 18S and 28S rRNA. The record is from RNAcentral. Lineage: Eukaryota; Viridiplantae; Streptophyta; Magnoliopsida; Dipsacales; Caprifoliaceae.